This 253-nucleotide ribosomal RNA is filed under the name uncultured bacterium. RNAcentral describes it as "partial 16S ribosomal RNA". It matches the Rfam family "Bacterial small subunit ribosomal RNA", at positions 524 to 776 of the family's 1533-position model. The record is from RNAcentral.
UACGGGGGGGGUAAGCGUUGUUCGGAAUUACUGGGCGUAAAGGGCUCGUAGGCGGCCAACUAAGUCAGACGUGAAAUCCCUCAGCUUAACUGGGGAACUGCGUCUGAUACUGGAUGGCUUGGAUUCGGGAGAGGAAUGCGGAAUUCCAGGUGUAGCGGUGAAAUGCGUAGAUAUCUGGAGGAACACCGGUGGCGAAGGCGGCUCUCUGGAACGGUACUGACGCUGAGACGCGAAAGCGUGGGGAGCGAACAGG